Molecule: unclassified non-coding RNA, 289 nt
Filed under: Hevea brasiliensis (rubber tree)
Lineage: Eukaryota; Viridiplantae; Streptophyta; Magnoliopsida; Malpighiales; Euphorbiaceae
Source: RNAcentral
UUCUAAUAGGUAUAUGGCAAUCGAGCUCUUGAAGUAUGCACUGGUUACACGGUCCAUUUGUGAAGUAUGAAAUUUGUAAAAUUUAAAAUGAGAGUUGACUCAUCAUGUGUGAGUGAAAGAUAUUAGAAAUAUGAUCCGGGUCACCCAAGUAAGUCAAUCCGAAUCCAUUAGACUUGAAUCCAAAAUCAAGAACAAUCAAAUGAAAAGUUAUGUACGGUGGCAAAAAUCCGAAGUCAUGUAUAUUGGUUAAAGAUUACAAAAUCCAAAAGUCAUGUAUAAAUGUCAAAAG